Molecule: ribosomal RNA, 405 nt
Filed under: uncultured bacterium
Lineage: Bacteria
Description: partial 16S ribosomal RNA
Rfam family: Bacterial small subunit ribosomal RNA
Source: RNAcentral
AUUGAACGCUGGCGGCAGGCCUAAACAUGCAAGUCGGACCAGGGGCGGACGGGUGAGGAAUGUCUGGGAGACUGCCGGAUGGAGGGGGGUAACUACUGGAAACGGUAGCUAAUACCACAUACCACCGGAGGUGCCCCGAUGGGAUUAGCGGGUAGGUGGGGUAACGGCUCACCUAGGCGACGAUCUCUAGCUGGUCUGAGAGGAUGACCAGCCACACUGGAACUGAGACACGGCCCAGACUCCUACGGGAGGCAGCAGUGGGGAAUAUUGCGCAAUGGGGGCAACCCUGACGCAGCCAUGCCGCGUGUAUGAAGAAGGCCUUCGGGUUGUAAAGUUCUUUCAGUAGCGAGGCGUUAACCACAGAAGAAGCACCGGCUAACUCCGUGCCAGCAGCCGCGGUAAUAC